Molecule: ribosomal RNA, 253 nt
Filed under: uncultured bacterium
Lineage: Bacteria
Description: partial 16S ribosomal RNA
Rfam family: Bacterial small subunit ribosomal RNA
Source: RNAcentral
GACAGAGGGUGCGAACGUUGUUCGGAAUUACUGGGCGUAAAGCGCGUGUAGGCGGUCGUGCAAGUCGGGUGUGAAAGCCCUGGGCUCAACCCAGGAAGUGCAUUCGAUACUGCGCGACUGGAGUCCCGGAGAGGAUGGUGGAACUCUCGGUAUAGAGGUGAAAUUCGUAGAUAUCGAGAAGAACACCGGUGGCGAAGGCGGCUCACUGGCCCGAUACUGACGCUGAGGCACGAAAGCGUGGGGAGCAAACAGG